GACGAACGCUGGCGGCGUGCCUAACACAUGCAAGUUGAGCGACGAACCAGGGCUUGCCCUGGGGCAAAGCAGCGAACGGGUGAGUAACACGUGGGUAGCCUACCCCGAUAACCGGGACAACCCGAGGAAACUCGGGCUAAUACCGGAUGUGCUCACUGGACUUCGGUUCAGUGCGUAAAGGAAGCUUCGGCCUCCGUAUCGGGAGGGGCCCGCGGCCCAUUAGUUAGUUGGUGAGGUAACGGCUCACCAAGACCGCGAUGGGUAGCUGGUCUGAGAGGACGAUCAGCCACACUGGGACUGAGACACGGCCCAGACUCCUACGGGAGGCAGCAGUGGGGAAUCUUGCGCAAUGCGCGAAAGCGUGACGCAGCAACGCCGCGUGGGGGAAGAAGGCCUUCGGGUUGUAAACCCCUUUCAGGAGGGACGAAGGUUCGGCGGUGAAUAGCCGUCCGGACUGACGGUACCUGCACAAGAAGCCCCGGCUAACUACGUGCCAGCAGCCGCCGUAA
Molecule: ribosomal RNA, 509 nt
Filed under: uncultured bacterium
Lineage: Bacteria
Description: partial 16S ribosomal RNA
Rfam family: Bacterial small subunit ribosomal RNA
Source: RNAcentral